Molecule: ribosomal RNA, 1346 nt
Filed under: uncultured bacterium
Lineage: Bacteria
Description: partial 16S ribosomal RNA
Rfam family: Bacterial small subunit ribosomal RNA
Source: RNAcentral
GACGAACGCUGGCGGCGUGCUUAACACAUGCAAGUCGAACGGAAAGGCCCUGCUUUUGUGGGGUGCUCGAGUGGCGAACGGGUGAGUAACACGUGAGUAACCUGCCCUUGACUUUGGGAUAACUUCAGGAAACUGGGGCUAAUACCGGAUAGGAGCUCCUGCUGCAUGGUGGGGGUUGGAAAGUUUCGGCGGUUGGGGAUGGACUCGCGGCUUAUCAGCUUGUUGGUGGGGUAGUGGCUUACCAAGGCUUUGACGGGUAGCCGGCCUGAGAGGGUGACCGGCCACAUUGGGACUGAGAUACGGCCCAGACUCCUACGGGAGGCAGCAGUGGGGAAUAUUGCACAAUGGGCGGAAGCCUGAUGCAGCAACGCCGCGUGCGGGAUGACGGCCUUCGGGUUGUAAACCGCUUUCGCCUGUGACGAAGCGUGAGUGACGGUAAUGGGUAAAGAAGCACCGGCUAACUACGUGCCAGCAGCCGCGGUGAUACGUAGGGUGCGAGCGUUGUCCGGAUUUAUUGGGCGUAAAGGGCUCGUAGGUGGUUGAUCGCGUCGGAAGUGUAAUCUUGGGGCUUAACCCUGAGCGUGCUUUCGAUACGGGUUGACUUGAGGAAGGUAGGGGAGAAUGGAAUUCCUGGUGGAGCGGUGGAAUGCGCAGAUAUCAGGAGGAACACCAGUGGCGAAGGCGGUUCUCUGGGCCUUUCCUGACGCUGAGGAGCGAAAGCGUGGGGAGCGAACAGGCUUAGAUACCCUGGUAGUCCACGCUGUAAACGGUGGGUACUAGGUGUGGGGUCCAUUCCACGGGUUCCGUGCCGUAGCUAACGCUUUAAGUACCCCGCCUGGGGAGUACGGCCGCAAGGCUAAAACCCAAAGGAAUUGACGGGGCCCCGCACAAGCGGCGGAGCAUGCGGAUUAAUUCGAUGCAACGCGUAGAACCUUACCUGGGUUUGACAUGGAUCGGGAGUGCUCAGAGAUGGGUGUGCCUCUUUUGGGGUCGGUUCACAGGUGGUGCAUGGCUGUCGUCAGCUCGUGUCGUGAGAUGUUGGGUUAAGUCCCGCAACGAGCGCAACCCUUGUUCACUGUUGCCAGCACGUUAUGGUGGGGACUCAGUGGAGACCGCCGGGGUCAACUCGGAGGAAGGUGGGGAUGACGUCAAGUCAUCAUGCCCCUUAUGUCCAGGGCUUCACGCAUGCUACAAUGGCUGGUACAGAGAGUGGCGAGUCUGUGAGGGUGAGCGAAUCUCGGAAAGCCGGUCUCAGUUCGGAUUGGGGUCUGCAACUCGACCUCAUGAAGUCGGAGUCGCUAGUAAUCGCAGAUCAGCAACGCUGCGGUGAAUACGUUCCCGGGGCU